GAUGAACGCUAGCUACAGGCUUAACACAUGCAAGUCGAGGGGAAACGGCAUUGAGUGCUUGCACUCUUUGGACGUCGACCGGCGCACGGGUGAGUAACGCGUAUCCAACUUUCCCAUUACUGUGGGAUAACCUGCCGAAAGGCAGACUAAUACCGCAUAGUCUUCGAUGACGGCAUCAGAUUUGAAGUAAAGAUUUAUCGGUAAUGGAUGGGGAUGCGUCUGAUUAGCUUGUUGGCGGGGUAACGGCCCACCAAGGCAACGAUCAGUAGGGGUUCUGAGAGGAAGGUCCCCCACAUUGGAACUGAGACACGGUCCAAACUCCUACGGGGGGCAGCAGUGAGGAAUAUUGGUCAAUGGACGGAAGUCUGAACCAGCCAAGUAGCGUGCAGGAUGACGGCCCUAUGGGUUGUAAACUGCUUUUGUAUGGGGAUAAAGUUAGGGACGUGUCCCUAUUUGCAGGUACCAUACGAAUAAGGACCGGCUAAUUCCGUGCCAGCAGCCGCGGUAAUACGGAAGGUCCAGGCGUUAUCCGGAUUUAUUGGGUUUAAAGGGAGCGUAGGCUGGAGAUUAAGUGUGUUGUGAAAUGUAGACGCUCAACGUCUGAAUUGCAGCGCAUACUGGUUUCCUUGAGUACGCACAACGUUGGCGGAAUUCGUCGUGUAGCGGUGAAAUGCUUAGAUAUGACGAAGAACUCCGAUUGCGAAGGCAGCUGACGGGAGCGCAACUGACGCUUAAGCUCGAAGGUGCGGGUAUCAAACAGG
Molecule: ribosomal RNA, 761 nt
Filed under: Prevotella melaninogenica
Lineage: Bacteria; Pseudomonadati; Bacteroidota; Bacteroidia; Bacteroidales; Prevotellaceae
Description: bacterial SSU rRNA
Rfam family: Bacterial small subunit ribosomal RNA
Source: RNAcentral